Molecule: long non-coding RNA, 4437 nt
Organism: Columba livia (rock pigeon)
Lineage: Eukaryota; Metazoa; Chordata; Aves; Columbiformes; Columbidae
Exons: 4
Source: RefSeq, a predicted model, not a curated record
UUCAAAGAGUAGCAGCAGAGCCUCCCCAGGUUCCUAUCUCCAGCUUUAGCUGAUGCGGACAGAGAUGCUGUCGUGCUGUAACAGCCUUGCUAGAAGAAGAUGCAAUAGCUAUUAACACAAAGAAUGCGGAGCGUGAUUCACGGGAGCUCAGCGGCUCACUGUGCAGACUGAGCUCCAGAUGGUCUCCCAUGUCUCGCCCUGCCCCGCCUAGCUGCUGUCUCACUGCCGCUUGCAGCCUGGCUCCUCUUCCCCCAGCUGCUUCUGAUUCCAGGCUGACAUUGCCACGUGGUGGCUUUAGUGUGACUGGGGACAGUGGGGAGGCAGCAUCUCAGCUGCCUCAUCCCCCACUACAAAUGGAUGUGGAGCCAGGAGGAUGCUCAGUGGUUCAGAAAGCUCCUGUACAAAGUAUCCUGAAGAGAUGAAGACUUCUGUCUCAGCAGACAAACUAGAAGCGAUUCGUGGAACAGAAAUGCUAAUCAACACAUCCUGACUUGCAAUUAUUCAGUGAACUUCUCAGAAAAGCCUUCCAGACUGUUACCAGGUAGAGAAAUCCAACAGCAUGCGAAUGCCCACGAACCCACGUGAGGAGGGACAUCACUCAUUGCAGCUGAUCAAUUCUGUACCGCUUGCUCUGGACUUGGGGGGCUGCUGUAAGCUCAGCCACACCAAAGGCUCUUGUAUAUACUAAAAAGCAAAGUAUUUUUAAUAUCAGCAGAUGGUGCUGUCAAAGAUAGCUGCAAAAAUGCAGCCCAACAAGACACGGAGGCAGACUCAAGUGAGCACAGAGCCAUUUGCCCUGGGGUUUGCUCUUUUCAGAAGCUGUUGCCUGCACCCAGCAGAGGCUGUUUCUUGCUUGAACCUCUCUGAUUGAGGAGAGAAAUGACCCUGAGUUUUGUCCAGCCAUAGAGUGUUUCCUCUUUCUGAUGAGCAGCGGUUUGGGGCGGGUCUGACCUCUGAUACAGAGCAACAGCUUAAUUAACUUCUGGGAGACAUCAAGUCACUACAGCCAACAAGGACAUCACCACCAACUUCAUGGGGCUGGACCAUCAUGCUUCACCUCUGGGAGAUUUGCUGCUUUGGGGCUUAUUCCUGCAAAGACAAUGAGAAAUGUAGCGUUCAGUACUACAUUAUAUGCUUGAGCUACAGUCUUUUUUACAAUAUGAUUAUAAAGAGAUUGAUAAUAUGUCAACCUGUCCAUAGCCAGAAAUCAGCUGAGCAUCACUGCCAUCACACCCAUUUAUGACCAGGUAUGGGAUUUUCUAGAGAACAGGCUGCUUGAACAUUAAUUCCCAAUAAAUGCUUGUUUCAAAAGCUACUGGGGGAUAAAAGAUUUUGGAAGGAUGGGGAGAGAUGUUCUUUUCAAGUAGAGAAGAAAGAAGCUUGCAACUCAUGUCCUAAGAGAUGCCUUGGAGGGUGCCCCAAUCCAGCACCUUGCACAGGUCAUACAGGACCUGGAGCUCUGAGCUCAGGGUUUUGCACAGUGUUUGCAGGACAGGAGUAUCCCGUUUCCAUCCCCUCAGGCAGCAACAGCCCAAGGAUCCAACGCCAUCCACUGUUUCACAGGAAAGGUCACUCCCAAGCCAGUGCUUCAGUGUGGUGUUGCCACAUGCUCAUGAUAAAUUACUGUUCCCAGCUCAUAAAGGCACUAUUGAAUUUGGCACUUACUCAGAGAAAUCCUCAGCAGAUGCCGUCCUUCCAGAGAGCCCCAGGCGGGCAGUUUGCUGGGUCUGUAUUUAAAGUCGACCAAGUCUCUUCAGUUUCUGUUGUGUUUCUCACCUUAUUUAAGCAGGAAGGCUUAAAUGAUAAGAUCAAGAACUUCUCUGAAAAUCAUCUAUAUUCACAUCCUGCCCUGGAGCUGGACUCUUUGUACCCGUCCUCUGCCGAAGGGCACGGCUUGCCCUCUUCCAUAUGUAAAGCUUUGACUGGCAGCACAGCAUUCUUAUUGCACGUCAGGGUCACUAUAUCCUCCACAUCAGGAACCCAAGGAGCAGAGAAGGGGCUGUACCUUUUAUUUCCUUCCUGCCUAUUUGCAGCUCAGUUGCAUCUUCUUUUUAGCACCUGUUUAGGCCGAAUUGUGCCUGAUCUAUCACCUGCCUGUCUUCUCUUUCUGGCCAGACUGGUGGUGUAGCCACAUCCAGAGGAAGCAGCAUCUCCUUUUCACCUGCUGGUGUGGAAAUAAGGGUACAGCUGUUUGGCAAAAUCAGAGGGAACAUGAGCAGGUUUCCAGGCUCAUGGUUAAGGUGAUGCUGUGCCAGAUCUGGGCAGGAGACAGGUUGUUCUCCAAAAAGUUUAAGAGGAAGCUGAACAGUCUGUCAGGGGGCAGGUGGCUUGAGGUGGGACUGAUGGGCUCUGGAAGCCCAGCUCCUGGCUGAGAUGUCAGGAUGCAUCUUCUCCUCCAGCAUCCCACUGCAGCUUUGAGACACUGCAGCCUGCCAGGCACAGUGCUGUAUCGCAGCACGCUUGGAUGUUCAGCUUCAACUUGCUGGGAAAACUCUCUCCUUCUUCUCACUUCGGGAAAAAUUAAGUAAGAAAGUGACUUGCUGGCUUUCCCCCCUUCUUAGCAGUUCCUCGCAUGCAUUACUGCAUCAAUCUCCUAAUUACCUGGCAGGCUGGGCUGCGUUCUGCGGUUUGUGGAGGGGCUGCUGUUUGCUGCCCCUCUCCUCUCUUGAUAUUUGAGGGAUAACGGCUCCCCUGCUGAAAUCCAGCUCUCCUUUGAGGCUCCAACAUGAAGAGCCUGGGCAUAUGCUGUUCUUUUGGGCUCUUUCUGGCAUCAGAUUUCUGUGGGUGUACAAAAAUCUGGAGCUUUGGGUUGUGUCUAUCUAAAGGUAUCGAUAGGUGCUAUGACCUGGGCUGAAAACAGCCCCUUGGAUUUUUGUGUGUUACCAGGGCUGCCUGUGUAUUCCUUUCCCUCUGAUGCUGGAAGGGCCAAUUAAUUGGUAUAUAAAGUCAAGGCUGUGUGGUGCCCCCGUUAUUGCUCCUUCCCCACUCACUCCCAUUUCUGCUAGUGCAGGGAAGCUCUCCAGGAGCACUGGAACAGACUCUGUGCCUUCUGACUCAGCAGCUUCUGUCUUCAAGGAACUUUCCUGUAGAAGACCAUGAGGAGAUUUUUAUCACUCAGAUAGUGUCUGGGCUCCUUUCUGCUGGGAAUUGCCAGCACCAGGGACUUGCACAACUCACCUGGAGGGUGCCACGCACAGGGGAGCACCCAUGUGCAGUGAUGGGGUAUUAGCAAACCCAUUUACUGGUGAGGGGCAGGCAGAUGUGACCACAGAUUCUUGCUCUGCAGCUUUCCCACCCUGGAAGCAAUCCUUCUGUGAUUCAAGCUGGGUCCUGGGUCCACUGGUAAUGUGAUGUAUUUUCUGAAGCUCCAGCAAAGAGUUAUUCUGGAUGUACAUAUCACCUCUGCUCAUCAAGAGGCACAGACAUCCUCAUCAUGAGGUUUUUUUCUGAUGUGACCAGAGAUCUUCCAACAGCUUAGUGGCUGAUGAAGGUGCCCAGGCUGCAGACAAAACAAUCUAUCACUUGCCCAGGGAGCCAGAGAUCCUCGUUACCUAACCAAGAGGGGAUAAUAAUUCCCCAAAUCCCAUAAUAUCUGCAGUGCAAUAGCUUUUGCUUCAACAGCAAAGAGGUUAUGAGGUCUCCCGACAUCCACCAUACGCUCCAGACAGCUGCUGGGAGUGACGCUGAAUUAAUCUAAGAGGGAUAGCUUCCUCUAGGCUUGAUUUCACAGCUGAGUGUUUUUUUGCAAUAGAAAAAGGUAGUUAUAAGAAAGGGGUUAUUUCCAGAUGAGGCACAUCCAUGCUAUUGCUCAUCUUUUCCUCGUGAUUGUACUGGGCUUGGUCUGGUGGGGUUCCUGCUGGGGGAUGAAGCUGGGGGUGGGAUCCCUUUGGCAUUGCCGAGAGCCACGGUCCCAUGGGAGAAGUUGGCAGUGCCAGGCCUCCCCAGCCACCAUCGCCCACCUGUCUGCAGGUAAUGGUGUUACUUGGGUCGCAAAGUCUUCCGCUGCCUCACCUGUGCCCAGUACUACCCCAGCGACCUCCCGCUUCCUCUUGCAGCUCUCCCACUGCACCCCAGCCCCCACCUGCAGCCCCUCCGUCGCAUUCACUCCAAACUCUUCCUUGUCACAAACCUGGUUUUAGAUGUACGGAACCUAAAGCAGCUGCUCUCUCCUUUUUAACAGCGCAACACUUCAUUCUGCUGUUGAGAUCGCAGGUUUCUGCCAGCACAGAACAUGAAAUUGCUGGACUUACUCAGCCUCAAGGUCUAUUUAUCCAAGACCACGACUUCCCCUGUGAUCUGGGAUUCCUGGAGUGGCUGUUUCACCGAUGACAGUUUAACACUGAAGCAGAGCUGAGAACAGAACAUAAACCCAGCUCCCAGCACUUCAAGACUUCCAUUGCAUGCAGUUUGAUAAAUCUGAAAGGGUUUUAAGCAAAC